UGACCUCAAAUCAGGUAGGACUACCCGCUGAACUUAAGCAUAUCAAA
RNAcentral lists this ribosomal RNA (47 nucleotides) under Athelia epiphylla. RNAcentral's name for it is "partial 28S large subunit ribosomal RNA". RNAcentral also lists the same sequence under 1 other name. Lineage: Eukaryota; Fungi; Basidiomycota; Agaricomycetes; Atheliales; Atheliaceae. The record is from RNAcentral.